UACGAAGGGGGCUAGCGUUGCUCGGAAUCACUGGGCGUAAAGCGCACGUAGGCGGAUUGCUAAGUCAGGGGUGAAAUCCUGGAGCUCAACUCCAGAACUGCCUUUGAUACUGGCGACCUUGAGUCCGGGAGAGGUGAGUGGAACUGCGAGUGUAGAGGUGAAAUUCGUAGAUAUUCGCAAGAACACCAGUGGCGAAGGCGGCUCACUGGCCCGAUACUGACGCUGAGGCACGAAAGCGUGGGGAGCAACAGG
This 252-nucleotide ribosomal RNA is filed under the name uncultured bacterium. Its description in RNAcentral is "partial 16S ribosomal RNA". It matches the Rfam family "Bacterial small subunit ribosomal RNA", at positions 524 to 775 of the family's 1533-position model. The record is from RNAcentral.